GUGAUUAAAUCGAGCGUGUCUACAUUGACCGCUCACCCUUCUCACCAUCCACAUACACCUGUGCACUGUUUAGUCUGAGCCGGUUUUCCGGUCCAGGUUAUCAUUUCAUACAAACUCUAGUCUUAUGAAUGUAGACGUUUUAAUAACAUAAUA
This 153-nucleotide unclassified non-coding RNA is filed under the name soil metagenome. RNAcentral describes it as "partial internal transcribed spacer 1". The record is from RNAcentral.